RNAcentral lists this transfer RNA (86 nucleotides) under Vibrio harveyi. RNAcentral's name for it is "tRNA-Tyr". It matches the Rfam family "tRNA". From Rfam's summary of the family: Transfer RNA (tRNA) molecules are approximately 80 nucleotides in length. The record is from RNAcentral. Lineage: Bacteria; Pseudomonadati; Pseudomonadota; Gammaproteobacteria; Vibrionales; Vibrionaceae.
GGAGGGGUUCCCGAGUACUAAAGGGAGCAGACUGUAAAUCUGCUUAAGCACUGCCUUCGAUGGUUCGAAUCCGUCCCCCUCCACCA